GUGCCAGCCGCCGCGGUAAUACGUAGGGUGCGAGCGUUAAUCGGAAUUACUGGGCGUAAAGCGUGCGCAGGCGGUUGUGUAAGACAGGUGUGAAAUCCCAGGGCUUAACCUUGGAAUUGCAUUUGUGACUGCACGGCUAGAGUACGGUAGAGGGGGGUGGAAUUCCGCGUGUAGCAGUGAAAUGCGUAGAUAUGCGGAGGAACACCGAUGGCGAAGGCAGCUUCCUGGACCUGUACCGACGCUCAUGCACGAAAGCAUGGGGAGCAAACAGGAUUAGAUACCCUGGUAGUCCAUGCCCUAAACGAUGUCAACUGGUUGUUGGGAAUUAACUUUCUCAGUAACGAAGCUAACGCGUGAAGUUGACCGCCUGGGGAGUACGGCCGCAAGGUUAAAACUUAAAUGAAUUGGCGG
This 411-nucleotide ribosomal RNA is filed under the name uncultured bacterium. RNAcentral describes it as "bacterial SSU rRNA". It matches the Rfam family "Bacterial small subunit ribosomal RNA", at positions 505 to 916 of the family's 1533-position model. The record is from RNAcentral.